RNAcentral lists this ribosomal RNA (253 nucleotides) under uncultured bacterium. Its description in RNAcentral is "partial 16S ribosomal RNA". It matches the Rfam family "Bacterial small subunit ribosomal RNA", at positions 524 to 776 of the family's 1533-position model. The record is from RNAcentral.
UUCAGAGGGUGCAAGCGUUAAUCGGAAUUACUGGGCGUAAAGCGCACGUAGGCGGUUUUUUAAGUCAGAUGUGAAAGCCCCGGGCUCAACCUGGGAAUUGCAUUUGAAACUGGGGAACUAGAGUGUGUGAGAGGGGGGUAGAAUUCCAAGUGUAGCGGUGAAAUGCGUAGAGAUUUGGAGGAAUACCAGUGGCGAAGGCGGCCCCCUGGCACAACACUGACGCUCAGGUGCGAAAGCGUGGGGAGCAAACAGG